GAUGAAGAACGUAGCGAAAUGCGAUACUUAAUGUGAAUUGCAGAAUUCAGUGAAUCAUCGAGUCUUUGAACGCACAUUGCGCCCCCUGGUAUUCCGGGGGGCAUGCCUGUCCGAGCGUCAUUGCUGCCCUCAAGCACGGCUUGUGUGUUGGGCCUCCGUCCUCCUCCCGGGGGACGGGCCCGAAAGGCAGCGGCGGCACCGCGUCCGGUCCUCGAGCGUAUGGGGCUUCGUCACCCGCUCUUGUAGGCCCGGCCGGCGCUUGCCGACACAUCAAUCUUUUUUCCAGGUUGACCUCGGAUCAGGUAGGGAUACCCGCUGAACUUAAGCAUAUCAAUAAGCGGAGGA
RNAcentral lists this unclassified non-coding RNA (345 nucleotides) under soil metagenome. RNAcentral's name for it is "partial contains 5.8S ribosomal RNA, internal transcribed spacer 2, and large subunit ribosomal RNA". The stretch from base 1 to 120 matches the Rfam family "5.8S ribosomal RNA", at positions 35 to 154 of the family's 154-position model. The record is from RNAcentral.